Molecule: transfer RNA, 77 nt
Filed under: Verrucomicrobiales bacterium
Lineage: Bacteria; Pseudomonadati; Verrucomicrobiota; Verrucomicrobiia; Verrucomicrobiales
Description: tRNA-Arg
Rfam family: tRNA
About the family: Transfer RNA (tRNA) molecules are approximately 80 nucleotides in length. Their secondary structure includes four short double-helical elements and three loops (D, anti-codon, and T loops).
Source: RNAcentral
GCGCGGGUAGCUCAAUUGGCUAGAGCGUCGGCCUCCGGAGCCGAAGGUUAUGAGUUCGACCCUCAUCCCGCGUACCA